AUACGUAGGUGGCAAGCGUUGUCCGGAUUUACUGGGUGUAAAGGGCGUGCAGCCGGGAAGGCAAGUCAGAUGUGAAAUCUAUGGGCUUAACCCAUAACGUGCAUUUGAAACUGACGGUCUUGAGUGAUGGAGAGGCAGGCGGAAUUCCUAGUGUAGCGGUGAAAUGCGUAGAUAUUAGGAGGAACACCAGUGGCGAAGGCGGCCUGCUGGACAUUAACUGACGCUGAGGCGCGAAAGCGUGGGGAGC
Molecule: ribosomal RNA, 247 nt
Filed under: uncultured bacterium
Lineage: Bacteria
Description: partial 16S ribosomal RNA
Rfam family: Bacterial small subunit ribosomal RNA
Source: RNAcentral